This 253-nucleotide ribosomal RNA is filed under the name uncultured bacterium. RNAcentral describes it as "partial 16S ribosomal RNA". It matches the Rfam family "Bacterial small subunit ribosomal RNA", at positions 524 to 776 of the family's 1533-position model. The record is from RNAcentral.
UACAGAGGUCUCAAGCGUUGUUCGGAUUCAUUGGGCGUAAAGGGUGCGUAGGUGGCGCGUUAAGUCUGUUGUGAAAUUUCGGAGCUUAACUCCGAAACUGCAUUUGAUACUGGCGUGCUUGAGGACUGGAGAGGAGACUGGAAUUCAUGGUGUAGCAGUGAAAUGCGUAGAGAUCAUGAGGAAGACCAGUGGCGAAGGCGGGUCUCUGGACAGUUCCUGACACUGAGGCACGAAGGCCAGGGGAGCAAACGGG